ACGCAUGCCUGGAGCUCGCCGACGUGGCCGUCAUGCGAGCAGUAAAAACUCAUACUUCUACUGCUCCCACUCUCCUCCAUUUCACCCUGCUGUUUUUCACCGUCGCAAGCUGAGCCAGUCGAGCAGCACCGCCGCUGGCCGAAACCACCACUCCGCCGCUCCUCUCCUCAUUUCCGCCCGCUCAAAGCUCCGCCUUAAGCUCCUGUACACGCUCAGCAAGCUACCACUCCACUCCCUCCACCGCAGCGCUCCAUCAUCGUUGUCUUCCUCAAGCCCGGCCGCUACUUCGUUCUGGUAAGAACCGCCGCCGUGCAGGUCUUGGUUACUGGGGUUUGGGUCACUGAGUAAAGGCUCAGGUGAGCUUCUCGUGAGCCAAGGAUGGUGUUGAGGCCGCUCGUUGACUUAAAGCAUGGUUAGGUUGGCCGGAACGCCGUCACCGCCGUGUGUGCCCGUCGCCGCCAUGGCCGCCAUAGCGGAGCUUUAUACUCUAGCCAUGGAACGCCCUGUUUUGGGUGAGCUUUGCGUGUCCUAGGUCGAGGCGAAACUGCUACGCGAGCUUGUUGCCGUGGAGUCGCCGCCGUUGUGCUGCCCGCCGGAAGAACCCUAGCGCCGCCCGGUCCGCCACUGUUCGCCAUAGACUCCGGUCGAGCCACCUCAGCGUCACCACCAGUGUGGGCGCGUCGUUGAGGCGAGUCAAGCCAGCAAGUCGCCAUCGCCGGAGACCUCGCCGCCGGCGAGUUGAGGCGCAUACCCGCACCGGUGCCCACGGCCAAGGCUGGGAGUACUGUGUGCUGACCGGGCCCGCGAAGCAGUGAGAGAGGGGUAGAGGGGGGGUGCGUGAGAAGAGUUUUUGGGGGGUUUGGAUAAUCAUAGAUUUUCUUUUGACAGAUAAAUAGAUUAAAUUCAGUUCUCACCAUUUAAUUCACUGGAAAUUCUAGAAAUGUCAAAAAAUAGUGAAACCAAUUUUAUUAGGAUUGUUUUAUUUUCCUUUAUGCUUUAAAAUUCUUAAACCCUAGGAAAGGUAAUAAAAUUUAGGUAUUUAUUUAAUGCCUUUUGAUUAAGGUAUUUAAAUAAAUGCUUAACCUUUAUUAAAUGCAUAAAAUUUUGAAUAAUGUUUCCUUAUUCACAAAUUAUUAUUAAAAUAUAGGAAUUAAGUUUUGAGAUUGGAAAAUUAUUAUAAUACUUUUCUAAAAUAAAAGAAAGGCUUAGGUAGGUUAGUAAGGAAAUUAAAUUUGUGGGUUAAUCUUUAUGGGUAGUUUAGUGUUGGCUUGCAACUUUAUCAUGAAGGAAAGUUGUAUAGUCAUGUGUUCAAAAGUUUGCAUCUCUAACUCCUGCAUGUACUAAAUCGUAGACGUCGAAGCUCCUGAAGUGGAAUUCGUGGAAUUCAUCUGAAGAUUGUAAGCUUCUUUUACUAAAGGGGUUUUCCGAAGGACUAACAUUUGUUGAUCCCAGGCAAGCCCCGGUGCAUCUAUACCUACCUACUUUGGAGUUAUUAUUUCAUGUCUCCAAUUAUUGGUUAUUUUCCAUAUGAAUGCAUUAAGUCUAGGAGUUGGUUGAAACCUAUUCUUGUGCAUGAUCCUACCUUGUUUAGAGGACAUCUUUGCCACUUGUUCGCUAAUUAGUAACUAUCCUAUGCUUAGCAAUGCUUAGAUACCUAUGAGUAAUUUUGGUUACUCAACGCUAAGGCUAAGAUGGUCAUACAUGUUAAUCAAGGAAAUGGCCUGAGAUUUUGGAAAUGCGGACAGAAGCUAAAGAUGGUAGUUCUAUCAGCUAAGUUAAUGUGGUUAAGGACUGUUCGUUGUCUUAACCUUUGAUCAAGUGAUUUUACCUGGUUGCAAACUGGGUAUGGGACCAGCAAAGCUUGGUAGGUUAGUUGGCUCUCUAAUCGGGAAUAUUUCGUACCUGUGCUUGACGUGCUGGAGAAUGGCAGGGGCGUAGCCUGAAACUCACAUGGAGACUAGGAUAGACGUGAGGUCCCAUGUGGGGGUGCGUCCCUGGGUUCGGGUAGUCAUAUUCCCAAUCUUUGAAUACAACUAAUUGAAAGGUUGUUGUGUACAACCCGUACAGUUGUACAUGGCUGGUGGUCGGGUAUCUCCUACAGGAUGUAAAUUGGUCCGGAUCGCCGCAAUUCUCGGAUAUGAAUGCACUUGAUCAUUGCUUGAGCAUCGUAGUGUAACAAAGAGAAGGGAACCGUUUGCUUUGAAUAAAUAUGUUGUAUGACUUAGUUCCAUCUGGUUGCUAAAAUAUUUUCGUCAUCUAGACUGGUCAGGUAACGAACUCAAUCUAAAGUAAAAGAUAAAACUAAGGUUUCACUUAUAGUAAGCUCUUUCUGCAAAAAUGUGAGUCAGCCAAUACACCAUAAAGCUAUCAUACCGUAUACAAAAAGUAUUUAUAUUGGUUAGACGGGUGAGACUUGCUGAGUACUUCGUGGCUGUCCUCCAUCGCCUCGCCAAGUUCGCGCAGGCUGGCGACAAGCCCGUUGAUGCGAUUCGUGAAGUCGUCGACAGACUCCCCAUCGCGGAACGCGACAUUCUCGAACUCCUUCAAGAGACGUUGCACGCUCGCGGACUUCACGCGAUCAUCGCCGACCCUCAUCUUCUUCACCGCGUCCCACGCUUCUUUCGCCGACUUCUUCACGACGAGCCCGGCCUUCAUCUUCGACGGCACCGCGCGCAAGAUGGCGGCCAACGCCCGCCGAUCCUUAGCACGCUCCUUGCAGACUGCCUCCACGGCAUCCCAGAGCUCCAUCGCCUCCAGGGAUACCUGCAUAACCAAGAACCACUCAUGGUAAUUGGUUUUGGUCAGCAGCGGCAACUCAACAGUGGUGGCGUUCGCCACCACGACUGGACACGGUGAGCUGCUAGAGCCGUCCUUGUCGCCAAGGUUGAUGCGCGGCUUCUUCGGCCCGAGGGACGACAUCUUCGAUCACCUUAGCUCUGAAUACCAAAUGUUGGCUUCGCCCAGGAACUCUCUAUCUCUCUUGCUCUAAGUAACUCAACUCGAGCAUGCACUCAGAGCAACAAUGGCGAUGAACGCCGCGGCCGCGAACUGGCCUGUAUCUUGGCGAGCUUUAUUCACUGGACUUGGCAAAACAAUACAGAGGAGCUCAGGGGCUACAUAUAGGCUACGAACUUACCAGGAGCUAACCUCCACGUCCGGCCUUCCCGCAUGCACCUCCUCGACCUUCCUGCUCGCUAACUGACUAACAGACUAACAAACUCAAUCUAUCCAACACCGGCCACGCAACAAACUUGCAUGCACGCGCGCUCAUGCUGCACCACCACGCCGGCACCCGUGCACACACUCGACCGCAUGGAUGGACACACCAAUAGCGUGGUUUAUUCCUAACAUGCUCCCCCUAAACCACGACACCCCCUAACGCCCAACCUACAGGAGUGUCGGCUCAUCAUCGUGUCAAAGUCCGUAAACAUCUCGAUCACCACAGCAACCUACUUCAUCUUCUUCGGGAUUACGCGCAGGAUCUUCUUCACCACGCGGCUGUCCUCCAUCGCCUUGCCAAGUUCGCGCAGGCUGGCGACAAGCCCGUUGAUGCGCAUCGUGAAGUCAUCGACAGACUCCCCAUCGCGGAACGCGACGUUCUCGAACUCCUUCAAGAGACGUUGCACACUCGCGGACUUCACGCGAUCAUCGCCGACCCUCAUCUUCUUCACCGCGUCCCACGCUUCUUUCGCCGACUUCUUCACGACGAGCCCGGCCUUCAUCUCCGACGGCACCGCGCGCAAGAUGGCGGCCAACGCCCGCCGAUCCUUAGCACGCUCCUUGCAGACUGCCUCCACGGCAUCCCAGAGCUCCAUCGCCUCCAAGGAUACCUGCAUAACCAAGAACCACUCAUGGUAAUUGGUUUUGGUCAGCAACGGCAACUCGACAGUGGCGGCAUUCGCCACCGCGACUGGACGCGGUGAGCUGCUAGAGCUGUCAUCGUUGCUAAGGUCGAUGCGCGGCUUCUUCGGCCCGAGGGACGACAUCUUCGAUCACCUUAGCUCUGAAUACCAAAUGUUGGCUUCGCCCAGGAACUCUCUAUCUCUCUUGCUCUAAGUAACUCAACUCGAGCAUGCACUCAGAGCAACAAUGGCGAUGAACGCCGCGGCCGCGAACUGGCCUGUAUCUUGGCGAGCUUUAUUCACUGGACUUGGCAAAACAAUACAGAGGAGCUCAGGGGCUACAUAUAGGCUACGAACUUACCAGGAGCUAACCUCCACGUCCGGCCUUCCCGCAUGCACCUCCUCGACCUUCCUGCUCGCUAACUGACUAACAGACUAACAAACUCAAUCUAUCCAACACCGGCCACGCAACAAACUUGCAUGCACGCGCGCUCAUGCUGCACCACCACGCCGGCACCCGUGCACACACUCGACCGCAUGGAUGGACACACCAAUAGCGUGGUUUAUUCCUAACAUGCUCCCCCUAAACCACGACACCCCCUAACGCCCAACCUACAGGAGUGUCGGCUCAUCAUCGUGUCAAAGUCCGUAAACAUCUCGAUCACCACAGCAACCUACUUCAUCUUCUUCGGGAUUACGCGCAGGAUCUUCUUCACCACGCGGCUGUCCUCCAUCGCCUUGCCAAGUUCGCGCAGGCUGGCGACAAGCCCGUUGAUGCGCAUCGUGAAGUCAUCGACAGACUCCCCAUCGCGGAACGCGACGUUCUCGAACUCCUUCAAGAGACGUUGCACACUCGCGGACUUCACGCGAUCAUCGCCGACCCUCAUCUUCUUCACCGCGUCCCACGCUUCUUUCGCCGACUUCUUCACGACGAGCCCGGCCUUCAUCUCCGACGGCACCGCGCGCAAGAUGGCGGCCAACGCCCGCCGAUCCUUAGCACGCUCCUUGCAGACUGCCUCCACGGCAUCCCAGAGCUCCAUCGCCUCCAAGGAUACCUGCAUAACCAAGAACCACUCAUGGUAAUUGGUUUUGGUCAGCAACGGCAACUCGACAGUGGCGGCAUUCGCCACCGCGACUGGACGCGGUGAGCUGCUAGAGCUGUCAUCGUUGCUAAGGUCGAUGCGCGGCUUCUUCGGCCCGAGGGAAGACAUCUUCGAUCACCUUAGCUCUGAAUACCAAAUGUUGGCUUCGCCCAGGUGUCGGUGUUUUAGACCGGCAACCCGCCUAGGGGUACCCUAGGUGGUCUUUUAUGCAGUAAGGGUCGUCGAGAAUCAAGGAAUCAAUGGUGACGCAAGGAACACGAUUUAGAUAGGUUCGGGCCACUAGAUCGCGUAAUACCCUACGUCCUGUGUGUUGGUUUGUAUUGAUGUAUGUUCUGGUCCUGAGGGAUCUGUCUUGAGGGGGGUCCCUGCCCGGCCUUAUAUACCCGGGAGGGCAGGGUUACAAGUCUGAGUCCUAGUCGGGUACUAUUACAGAGUUCUACUCGGUAUCGUCCCGAGUAGUUUUCCAUAAACAAACAAGACUCGUCCGAGUAGGAUACGCCCAUCCUUGUUCUGAUCACGUCCGAGUACGUCCUUUAGUGGGCCAUCCAAGGCCUACUCGUGGAUUCGGGGAGUAGUCCCGACAAGCCCCCGAGUACUUUGUAGUCGUGCGCCAUAGUCUUGGGCGCUGUAGGCACUACCCGAGUAGUUUCACGGACUGAAGUGCUCGAGUACUGUCACGUGGCUGGAAGGUAUUCUUUCUGCAGUUUCGAGUUGUCUCCGUCCCGAGUAGUUUUUUAUAUGGUAGUGCGAUGUCAAUCGCACUCCAUAUGGAGUAGCCCCUAGGCCUUAGGUUGAGUCGAAGACUCAGGCUUAGGGUUAAACCAGUUUUUGCCCAUUUUACCCUCGGAGAUUUUGAAAAAGAAAAAACUGACAAACGGGUACGGUACCCGCAGCCCCCGAGCACUUAGGCGAUUCCUGUCGUUGAAGUGGUCAUCAAUCCGUUGACUCUAGUAGCCGUUGGGUGUUUAUGGCGAUUAAUACGCGAUUUGAUCUGUCCGUUGCGCAACUGACGCGUCGAAUCCGGAGCCGGUGGAGAUAAAUCUGGAACAGCCCCCUUUGCAGUUGUCGUGACGCCGUACAGGCAUUAGAUUUGUUUUUCAUCUUCCUCCUCUGUGCCUUCGUUCGCUGUGCCACCGCCGCCAGUGCUGCCGCCUUCGCCACUUCCACUUUUGUGAGGUAGAUCCGAGUGGAAAUCUCUUCCCUAGGGCGAGGUUGAAUCCAUCAAAUGCACUCCAAGAAGAUGGGCAAGAAACCCGAGAAGAUCCAAGGCAAGGUUCUGGCAACGAGCAAGGUUAGAUCCAAAAAGGGGAAGGAGUUGGUGCUGCCGGCGCCAAAAGUGGGGCCGACGAAUCAAACUGCUCCGCCACCACCUGGGGCAACUUGGCAACACUCAAUGAUGAAGGAAGAGGGAGUCCAAGCACUGGUUGAUGCCAAGCUUCUUCAGCCGAAGGAAAUCGUGUAGUGGCACCCCGCAUUUCCUAACGCGUGGCAGUUCGAGGAGCACCCGGUGGAGACGGUGAUGCUUGCUCACUUCGUGGAAAGGGGACUGGCCGUGCCUACCUCUGACUUCUUCAGAGGUAUUCUCGAGUACUACAAUCUUCAGCUCGUCCACUUGAAUCCCAAUGGAGUACUGCACAUGGCUAUAUUUGUACGUUUGUGUGAAGUUUUCCUGGGAGUACCUAAGUCUCGAGCUAUUCAGGAAAUUGUUCCAUUGCAAGCCUCAGCCGAGUGCCCAGCGGACGGAGGUUUUUGGAGGUGCCGGGUUCCAACUCAAGAACUCGAAUGCAUAUAUCGAGUAUAAUCUGACCGACUCCCAUGGGGACUGGAAGAAAAGGUGGUUCUACAUCGGGAACCAUGAUCCUCGCCUGCCUGUGGUGACUGGUCACGCGCCCAAGCAUGCGGAAAAUUGGGUAAGCGAGCCUGAGGAUACCCCGGAGCUUGAUCUUCAGAUGCAGCAGAUCACCGAGUUGAAAGCACUCGGUUUGACUGGGAUCAAUGUGGCAGCCAGCUUUGUGAAGAGAAGGGUCCAGCCACUUCAAAAACGCGCUCACCCGGGAAGUGAGUACAAGGGUCUGAAAGAUCCUUCGCGUAUGUCUGAGGAGGACAUAUUUGACGAUGACGUGGAGGCGCUACUAGCGAAAUUCUUCAGGAACUAUCAGGGAGUUCCAGUGAUCCCUGCGGCCCUUCGCCAGUAUGAAUCCUGGUACGAGCCAGAGGUGGUAAGUAUUUCCUUCCUGACUUGGUUUAUUUUGACUUGUAAUUCUUGUUGCUGACACCGAUUUUGCUGUUUAGAAGUCCCGAGUACUUGAUGGCUAUGUGGCACAGUCGGAAGAAGAGAUCGCCACCGGGGAGUCAGAGGACGAACCUUCUCCUCCUAUCAAGAGGCGCAGAGUAGUCCGCAAGAUGGCUGCGGCUAAGUCUGUUGCAACCACUGAAAAGUCUUGGGGUAUCACGGUAUGUAGUUGAUGACUUGUAUCUCACUGAUGAACUCGAGAUGCGUUAUUGAUGUAGUGAAUCUUUUCUUGGGUCAUGAAGGUUGUAGAUGAGUCUGUCUCUGAAGAGAUAGCCGCGUCCAAACCUGAAGUCGGUGACGCGACCGUUGACACAUUGCUAGAGAAAAUGCCGUCAACAGCUGUGGUAGCCCCCGAGUUAAUUGCGCCAACUCCAUCAGCUGCCGUGCCGCCCACUGCUGAUCAGGCGGUGCUGGGGCUUCCUGCUGGAGUAGCAAAGGAGGUGUCACCAGUACUUGCUACUGGCACCUUGCUGUCAAAUGUGAUCGCCAGUGGUGAGUGAUGUUCUUUUCAAUUGUAGUCAUUUGAGUAGUACUGUAGUCUUGACCUCGGCUUCGUAGGUCUUGGUGAGGAGAUGGCGCCGGCAGUUGUCCCCGCGGCUCCGAAUACUGAGCCGCUUGUCGUCGAGAAGAAACGUGUGCGACUGCCGCCACGCUCAACCUGGUGAUCCACCUUGUCUUGUUGGAUGCCGUUGGAUUUUCUAAAAAAUCAUGUAGUGACACUUUGGCGGUGCAGGGAUGCAGAGGAAACUAUCCCUGUAGAAACAGGGGUAGUGCCAGAUCCCUUGACUACAACAUCUGUUCCUUUUGAGGACAUGUUUGUUGAAGAGGUACCCGAAGUUGACCCGGGUCAUCUUGGAGCUACGAUGUCGAUGCUUCAAGACAUGAUUCGCUCAAUAGAGGAGCCUACUGCUGCAUCAGGCUCGGGGAGUGCCGGCCUAUCCUCAUCCUCUAGCGGAGUGCUGGUUGUAGUUGAGAAAUCCAAGCGAGCGACUGCUCUAGGUAAAUGCCUGUAUUUUGUUAUUGUAGUCGUGGUCUUAUGAUAUAGUAAAAGCCUGUAUUACUGUAGCUGAUAUGGUGAAUGUUGUAGGUGCUGCUCUGGGUACAGUUCCUCUUGUGGAGAAAACCCAAAGGCCAGUACUUAGCCUGCCUUCUGACUCGGAGCUCCAGAGGGCCAUGGGUGUGUUCCGGGGCGUCCAGGUAGAUAUUGCUGAUGUUACUGCAGUACCCGAGUAGUCGUGAGGCGUGAAACUUACCACAACGUACUCGGACCUUUUCAGGAAAGAAACCACAGGCUGGAGCAGGAGUGCGCUCGACUGAGAGAAGCGCUUCGUGUUCAUGAAGUCGGGGCAAAAUCCUUUGCCGUGGAACGUGCGGAUCACGCUGUUCUGCAGGAGAAACUGGAGAGCCGCUAUAAAUCCUUGAACAAGAAGUAUCAAGGUAAGCAUUACGACUGCUUUGGGUGUGUCCAACUGUAGUUGGCUGUGGCCUAAGUUCUUUUGCUUUGUAGAGCUCAAGAAAUAGGAGGUGUCUGCAAGGAGCCAGGUUAUUGAUUGGAGGAACGCUCACGACCGAGUAGCGGAUGAAGCUGAACAUCUUCGGGCUGCGCUCACGGAAGCAGAGGCUGCUUGCGAGCAUCAGCGAGACCGGAAGAUGCAAAACGGCGUGAUGCUCGCCAUGGCCAUGGUGACAUGCAGAGAUCAUGCCCAGACCUUGGGAAGGCUUCGGGGUGAACUCCAAGACUUGUCCGGAGCGGCCGAAGACUUGGUUAAUGCUAUAGCCCCCAUAGAGGAAAGCGUAGAGCCGCAAUCACUAGUGGAGCGACUAAGAGCCGCCCCGAGUAAGGUGGCGGGACUCUGCAAGACUGUUUGCAAACAGGUUCUUGCAGUUGUGAAGUCCUAUUACCCGAGGGCAGACUUGGCGGCAGCUGGAGAUGGCAUGGCUCGCAACUGCACAGAUGAAGUAUAUGCGCAGUACCUCGAGGAGGCGGAGCCCAUUGCCGCUAAGAUGUCGGAGUUCGUCUCCUUAGAAGAAAUUUGAGCUUUUGUAUGACCCUUCUUCUUGUACCGAGUAUGUUGAUACUUCUGAAUAUCAAGAUUUUGGAUUUUGGAGUGUGUUGUCUUUCAAAAAAUGUUGUUGAAUCUUCAAAAUGUUGCAACUCUGCUGUGCCUGAUCUUUCAAGGGUGGAGCUCCACCUCGCCCGACCUUGAGUCCUGGAGUCAGAGGUGCCCGACCCUUCGAGGGAGGGACUCCGCCUCGCCCGACCCCGGGUCCUGGGGUCGGAGGCGCCCGACCCUUCGAGGGUGGAACUCCGCCCCGCCCGACCCUAGGUCCCAGGGUUGGAGUAGUCAGAGCCUCCAUCAUGUAAGCUAAGCUUCGCGUGUAGUAGUCCCGAGAGUCGAGUAGUCGUAAUGCUGUUUGAGUACUCGUCUCCUGAAGGACACGGGUGUACUGUACUCAGCUGUCCUUUGUUAAUGUACGGGUGUACUGUUGUCUUUUGUCCGUUGCAGAGGCAUGGGUGUACUGUGCUCCUUUGUCUGUUGCAACAUGAGUGCAGGCACAUGGGCAGAGUCAGAAGUUGUCAGACCUAUUGAUCACGGGUGCGCAGUAACUCUUUGGCCGGUGGUAGGUGUAGCUUUCGGUAUAAAUAGGGCCAUCUGCUGGUCGAACCAACUCAAGCUCCUGAGUAGCAAUGGAUUGCCUGUGGUUGCUUCUUUUUUAGUGUAGAGAGCCAGCAAAGAGCACGCCGGUGCUAGAAGAUUCCUCGUAGAUUAAGGCCACCUUGCCUCCACAGGCUCUUGCACUCGUAGGGAUAGCCGCGAUGCUAGAAGAAUCCUCGUAGGAGGGUUCAUCGCCUGCCUCAUCUCGUAGCUACUGAUCUAGUGGAGUACGCGCUGGAACUCGCGGCGAGUGAUGGGUGAUGAGUGCCGCGGUCUUCAUCCCGCUCUGGAAGGUGGUGGAGGUGCGGCCGUAGAGUAGAUAGGCCUCGCAAGGCUAGCAAAAGAGCAGCCUUGGUUCCCUCUAGGCGCGUCUUCCUAGUUUUGAUGUUGCCGCUAUCCUGGUGAUGGCGGUAAUGGAGUACCUGGACGUGCCUUGGGUAGGAUACUUGGGCGUGGCUGCGUUUUGCGCAGCUUCCUUGCGUGUAAGCCCUUCCUGCGGUCGGCAGACCUGAGUGGCCUUGUGAUAUAGUAAAAGCCUGAGGCUUAAAUGCAGCCCGCCAGUAGGCAGUUGCUUGUAGUGUUUGUUGAGCCGAGUCCUUGUACUCGUUAUGUAAUCUUGAUGUACUCUUGUUUCAGUAAAGAUAUGAAGAAUUUGUAUCAGGGCAAGUUUCCUUGUUGUAUUGAUAGCGCGUUGAAGCGAACACCCCUUGAAGUCGGCAGUCGAGUAGUCGUCCCGAGUAGUCCCCUUGGAGUGAGUACUCGAGUGCUGCUAUGGGUAAUAGCGACAGAGGUGUUCUAUAUUCCAAGAGUUUGGCACCUGUUCGCCUGAAACCUCUUGGAGUCUGUAAGAUCCGGGUCCUGUAACCUUUGAUACGAUGUAAGGACCUUCCCAUGGUGAAUUGAGUUUAUGCAAUCCUGAUGUGUCUUGAAUACGCUUAAGGACCAUAUCGCCCGAGUUGAAAGAUCUUUCCUUGAUGUUGCGAUCGUGAUAACGCCUUAAACCAUCAAGGUAUCUGGCAGAUUGCACAAGUGCUGCGCAUCUUGUUUCUUCCAAACUGUCGAUAUCCGUUCAUCGCGUUUCUAUCGCAAGUUCUUCGUCGUAUUGUUCAACGGGUGGUGAUUGCCACAUGAUGUCAGCGGGUAGUAUGGCUUCUGAACCAUAUACCAGAAAAUAAGGUGAAAAUCCCGUAGUCUUGCACGGUUGGAUACGCAGGCCCCACAAGGUGUUGGGUAACUCUUUGAGCCAUCGAUCGCCUUUGAUGUUGCCGACGUCAUGUAGUCGUUUCUUCAGAGCAUCGAGUAUCAUGCCAUUAGCACGCUCGACUUGACCGUUGGCUCGCGGAUGAGCAACCGAGACAUAGCGGACGUCGAUGCCGCUGUUCUCGCAAUACUCCCAGAAGUCAUGAUUGUUGAAGUUUGACCCGAGAUCGGUGAUAAUCCUGUUGGGAAAACCAUAACGAUGUACGAUUUCAUCCAAGAAGUCGAGAACUCGGUCUGCCUUUGGGCAAGUGACUGGUUUGACCUCGAUCCACUUGGUGAACUUGUCGAUUGCCACGAGUACUCUGUUGAAUUCUCCUGGCGCAGUUGGUAACGGACCAAUCAUGUCGAGCCCCCAGCAGGCAAAUGGCCAUGUUGGAGGUAUUGUGACCAGCUUGUAAGCCGGCACAUGUUGCUGUUUGGUCAAAAAUUGACAACCUUUGCACUUCUGAACUAGUUGCUUGGCGUCAGCCAGAGCCAUUGGCCAGUAGAACCCUGCUCUGAAGGCCUUGCCGACUAGUGUCCUCGAAGAGGCGUGGUUGCCGCAAAUUCCUUUGUAAAUUUCUUCUAGGAUUUCUUGGCCAUCUUCUCUGGUGACGCACUUCAUGAGUACUCCAGAUGAUGCACCUUUCCUGUAGAGUUUGUCCCCGACUAGAACGUAAUUCUUUACUCGUCGGGAGAUUUUCUCAGAUUUAUUCUUGUCGGAUGGUAGCUGGUGAUCUUUGAUGUAGUCAAUGAAGGGUGUCCUCCAGUCGACUUCUAUCAUCAUGAUCUCUCGGGAGGCGUCAGUAGUCAGGACUACUGGCGGUGUGACCUGCUCGGGUAUGGAUGGCUUGCGUAGCUCGUGUACGAAAAUUCCUGCUGGAACUUCUGCACGAGUUGAGCCCAUUUUGGAUAAGACGUCGGCGGCAACGUUGUUGUCGCGGACGAUGUGAUGGAACUCCAAGCCGGAGAAUUUGUUUUCCAGUUUACGGACUUCUUUGCAGUAAGCGUCCAUGUUGUCCUUGUUGCGGUCCCACUCGUCAUUGACUUGGUUUAUGACGACUAGAGAGUCGCCGUACACCAGUAGUCGUUUGAUGCCGAGGGAAAUUGCGAGGCGAAGGCCGUGUAAUAGUGCUUCGUACUCGUCUUCGUUAUUGGAUGCUUCCCAGAAUAUCUGCAGCACGUACUUGAGUUGGUCUCCCUUGGGGGAGAUGAGUAAGAUGCCGGCGCCGGCCCCUUCAAGUUUGAGGGAUCCGUCGAAGUACAUUACCCAAUGCUCUGGUCGCUCGACUGGAGUUGGGACCUGAUUUUUGGUCCACUCGGCUAUGAAGUCGACCAAAGCCUGAGACUUGAUGGCUGUCCUUGACUUGAAACUCAAAGUAAGAGCUCCGAGUUCGACUGCCCAUUUGGAGAUUCGACCCAUGGCAUCUCUGUUAUGGAGAAUUUCACCAAGCGGGAAGUCGGAGAUGACUGUGAUGCUGUGCUCUUGGAAGUAAUGGCGCAGCUUCCGGGAGGUGAGCAGGAUAGCAUAUAAUAGUUUUUGUAUCGGUGGAUACCGAGUUUUGGAGUCCGAGAGUACUUCACUGACGAAGUAGACAGGUCGUUGGACCUUAUAAGCGUGGCCCGAUUCAGACCGUUCGACUACUAUUGCCGUGCUGACAACAUGAGUAGUAGCGGAGAUGUAUAGGAGCAAGUCCUUGUUCGGCGAGGGAGCGGUGAGUACAGGAGGCUUUGACAGAAAGUCUUUGAGUUGUGUAAAAGCCUGAUCUGCCUCUUCCGUCCACUUCAACUUGCCCGAUUGAGAAGCUUGAAGAAGGGUAGACCCCGUUCUCCAAGUCUUGAGAUGAACCGGUUGAGAGCGGCCAUGCAGCCGGUGAGUUUCUGCACAUCCUUAAUGCUGGCGGGAGCCUGCAUGUUUGUGAUGGCAGAUAUCUUCUUAGGGUUGGUCUCAAUGCCGCGAUGGCUAAUGAUGAACCCGAGUAGUUUGCCGGAAGGUACUCCGAAGACGCACUUAGUAGGAUUGAGUUUCCAUCGAAAAGCGCGGAGACUGGAGAAAGUUUCCUCCAAGUCGGCAAUGAGUUCCUCCCGGUGUCUUUUUUUGACGACGACGUCGUCAACAUAAGCUUCGACAUUGCGAUGAAGUUGUUUUUCAAAGCACAUUUGUAUGGCCCUUUGGUAAGUUGCUCCUGCGUUCUUGAGUCUGAAGGACAUUGUUUUGUAGCAGAAAGCUCCAAAGGGCGUGAUGAAUGUUGUUUUGGCUUGAUCUUCCUCUUUGAGGCUAAUCUGAUGAUAGCUGGAGUAGCAAUCGAGGAAACAUAGCAGGGUGCACCCAGCGGUGGAGUCGACCACUUGAUCGAUUCUGGGUAACCCAAAAGGAUCUUUCGGGCAGUGUUUGUUGAGGUCGGUGUAGUCGACACACAUUCUCCAUUCGUUGUUUUUCUUGCGAACAAGCACAGGAUUGGCGAGCCAGUCAGGAUGGAAGACUUCCUUGAUGAAUCCUGCCGCGAGUAGCUUGGCUAACUCUUUUUUGAUGGCGUCGCGUCUGUCCCGAGCGAACCGGCGUAGUCGUUGCCGUUUUGGAGUAGCUUUGGGAUCGACGUUGAGGGAAUGCUCGAUCAGUUCCUUAGGCACACCUGGCAUGUCGGCUGGCUUCCAAGCGAAGAUAUCGUGGUUAGCCCGAAGGAAACUGACGAGUGUGAAUUCCUAUUUAGGAUCCAGCCCUGUUCCGAUCAGGGCGGUCUUGGAAGGAUCACCAGUCUGGAGGUCGAUCGAUUUAAAGUCUUGCUCGCUGGCGGGUUUCACCUUUGUGGAGCUCGACAUAUUUUCCGGGAUCUCGAGUUCAGUUGGAUGGAGUUUCUUUGAAGCUGUGAAGACUUGUUGCAUGGGACUAGGAGAUUGAGUAGUCGCAGCAAUUUCCACGGCUUCGGUGUCGCACUCGUAGGAUCACCGGAGGUCUCCUCGUAGCGUGAGUUCGCCCUUGGGACCUGGCAUCUUGAGUACCAGGUAGACAUAAUGUGGUAUGGCCAUAAACUUGGCAAGUGCUGGCCGUCCGAGUAUAGCGUGAUAAGAAGUCUCGAAGUCGGCGACCUCGAAUCUGAUGUACUCGAUGCGGUAAUGUUCUUUAGUUCCGAAGGUGACUGGGAGGACAACUUGCCCCAAUGGUAUGGCCGCAUUUCCAAGCACAAUGCCGUAGAAGGACGAAUCCGUUGGAGUAAGCAUGUCCGUGACGUCGAGGCACAUUUUCCUUAAUGUUUUGGUGAAGAUAAUGUUGAGACCGCUCCCGCCAUCGAUGAGUACUUUGGUUAACUUUGAACCUGCCACAACUGGAUCCAAGACUAGUGGAAAACAACGGGUUCUGAAAAUUUUGUCCAUUGAUCCUUUCUGCUGAAAGAAAUUGGAACUUCCGACCAUUUUAGCGGUGUGGGGUCCGUUGGGUCGAUGGCCAUGAUCUCCCUAAGUACGAGUUUGUUGGCUCGCUUGGAUGCUGUGCCAGGGAUGCCACCAAAAAUGACGUUGACGGUUUUCGAGGCUGGUUGGAAAUCGCCGUCUUCAUCUUCGUCGUUACAGGCUUUGUUUUUACCCUUGUCUCUGUUUUUGGCGUACUCUUCAGGAGUUGGUGGUGCUGGCAAGUCUUGCAUGACGCGGCGCAUGCUGUAACAGUCCAAUGCGAAGUGCUUGCUGGUCGGGUGCCAUGGGCACUACUUUUUGAGUAGCUCCGUGAAGGUUGUUCCGUCGUCGUUUCUGCGUUGUCCCUUUUUCCCGGAGCUGCUCAUGGCAGCAACAGUGUUGUUGAGCUUCCUUUUGCGAUUAUGAUUACCCGGAUAGGAAUUCCGAGCAUCGUUAUGACGAGUUUUAUCUGUGUCAUUGUUGUGGGUGUUGUCACGUCCACGGUUAUGGUGGGAACCGAACCGUUCACGUUCUUUGUCUUCUUCAUCGGCCCACUGUUGCACCAUGAGCUUGAGUUCUUUGACAUCGGCUGGCCGUCGGUGACCGAAGCCUUGGUAUGUUCGUCGAUCGUAGAGUCCGUUUUGGAAACACUCGAUGACGUCUGCUUCGGAGAUGUCUACUAUGGUAGCCUUCUUUUCGAAGAACCGUCGUAGAUAGUCACACAGGGUUUCGCCCUCUCUCUGCUUAAUUUGUUGUAAGUCAAUCUUGUUGCCUGGUCUAGCCAUGGAGCCGGCGAAGUUGUUGGUAAAAGCCUUUGUCAAGUCUGCCCAGGAGUCGAUGGACUUGGGUUUGAGUGACUCGAGCCAGGUCAGUGGUGCGGGUUCCAUGCAUAUGGGGAAGUGAAUGACUUUGGUGUCGUUGUUGGCCCCGGCUGCUUGGACGGCUAGCGAGUAACAGCGGAGCCAUUGAACUGGAUCUUGCUUGCCAUCGUACUUGGUAAUGCCGGUUGGUUUGAACUUUUCGGGUAAUUUUGUUUUCAUUACCCGGUUUGUGAAAGCGGGAAAGUGGUUGUAGCUGUCGACUUCUCGUUCACGCCAACUGUUGAGGAUUUCUCGUAGAUCGCUGAUGUUGGACAUCUCGUGGUUCUUCCGAGUAGGGCAGACGCUUUUAACCGAGUUGGUGCAGCUGGCUUCACCUACAUCCUUCUGUUGAGUAGGAGUUUUAUGCUUGCUCGGACCUUGGCUGUGUUGCCGGGGCUGGUUGACUACAUUAUCGUUUCGCUGGGCGACAUUUUUAUCUGCAGCCCCCCUGCUUCCGUCUGUAAUGCGAGGAACGGAUGGGAUUGGUGAUUCUUUGUCAAGCAACUUGUAAGCUUGCUCCGCGAGUUGUGCGAUUAGUCCGUUGCCACGCUGCACGAGUUGAGCUGUGGCUGCGUUAUCCUUGUCUUGAGGCAUCAGUGUCGUCAAAAGGUUGAUUGAAGCGAUAGUCGCGAGUGGAGUAUUGUGCUCCUGAGCCUGAACUGCGUUGAAAGCCCGUUCAAGAUUUGUAAUAGGGAUAUUUGUAGCCAUCGACUGUCGAUGCUCAGCUCGAGUGGUAUUGUGCGCCCUUCGUUGGUUGCGCUGUUCGGGAGUUUCAUUGUCGGUUGUGGAUUCAUCUUCAGAGAUGGUAUCGAUUUGUGCUAGUCGCCUGGGGGUUCUGUUCUGGCUAGUACCCGGAUUGUUAUUCUGAGUAAUAACAAGUAUUUCCCUGUCCGGGUAGUAGCUUCCGGAACUUGACGUAGCCAUCUCUGUGUAGCUUCCUUCGUGGUUGGAUGUAAGUGGAACGCCUUCUUGAAAUGGCAGGUUGUCUAUAUGAGCGACGAGGCGCGAGUCGUAGUUACGGUCGAAAAAAGAUGGUCGCAAUCCUGGCCAAUGGACGAAUCUGCCUUGUGGCGUUGAAGUUAUUACCAACCCUUGGGCUGGACCGGAUAAUGGUAUUUUUGGAGAGUAGGGCGAGUCGGAGUCAACGUCCUCGUCAUGCUCGAGUUCAACUCGGGUUCGAGCAAGAAAAUUUUGGUAGACUUUUGUCGUGUUGCGAAGUCCGUGCGGGAACCGCCUUGAAGUCGAGACCGAUUUGGAUGCUGACUGGGGCCGCUGAAUCUGAAGCGAGUCCGACCCUGAGUUCAGGGGUCGGCUGAGCUCAACCCUGUGAGGGAGUAGCUCCGCCUCGCCCGACCCUGAGUGGAAGUCCGCCUCGCCCGACCCCGAGUCCUGGGGUCGGGAGAGCCUGACCCCUGAGCGAGACUCCGCCUCGCCCGACCCCGAGGCCUGGGGUCGGCGGAGCUCGACCCUUUGGAAGGGUAGCUCCGCCUCGCCCGGCCUCGAGGCCUGGGGUCGGCGAAGCCCGACCCUGUGGAAAGGCAGCUCCGCCUCGCCCGACCCUGAGUGCUGGGGUCGGCGGAACCCGGCCCUUGAGCGAGGCAUUGGCGUAGUCCGAGACGAAGUCGAAUCCGACGCGUAGUCGAACAUGAGCUUGUUGACUUUGAAAUCUUGAUUUUUUCCGGUCACUUCUUCUGGUUUCGUCUCCUGAGUGUCGAUGAUCUGGCGCCGGAACGAUUCCGAGCCUUCGGCGACGUAGAGCCAGGAUCCGAAGACGAAGGUGGCGCUGGCUUCGAUGAAGAAGACGGGCCUGAUGAUGACUUUCGCCAUUGAGUUCGCGCUGAGAAACUCGACGAGUUCCCCUACCUGGCGCACCAGUUGUCGGUGUUUUAGACCGGCAACCCGCCUAGGGGUACCCUAGGUGGUCUUUUAUGCGGUAAGGGUCGUCGAGAAUCAAGAAAUCAAUGGUGACGCAAGGAACACGAUUUAGACAGGUUCAGGCCGCUAGAUCGCGUAAUACCCUACGUCCUGUGUGUUGGUUUGUAUUGAUGUAUGUUCUGGUCCUGAGGGAUCUGUCUUGAGGGGGGUGCCUGCCCGGCCUUAUAUACCCGGGAGGGCAGGGUUACAAGUCUGAGUCCUAGUCGGGUACUAUUAUAGAAAUCUACUCGGUAUCGUCCCGAGUAGUUUUCCAUAAACAUACAAGACUAGUCCGAGUAGAAUACGCCCAUCCUUGUUCUGAUCACGUCCGAGUACGUCCCUUAGUGGGCCGUCCAAGGCCUACUCGUGGAUCCGGGGAGUAGUCCCGACACCAGGAACUCUCUAUCUCUCUCGCUCUCAGUAACUCAACUCGAGCAUGAACUCAGAGCAACAAUAGCGACGAACGCCGCGGCCGCGAACCGGCCUGCAUCUUGGUGAGCUUUAUUCACUGGACUUGGCAAAACAAUACAGAGGAGCUCAGGGGCUACAUAUAGGCUACAAACUUACCAGGAGCUAACCUCCACGUCCGGCCUUCCUGCAUGCACCUCCUCGACCUUCCUGCUGUCUAACUGACUAACAGACUAACAAACUCAAUCUAUCCAACACCGGCCAUGCAACAAACUUGCAUGCACACGCGCUCAUGCUGCACCACCACGCCAGCACCCGCGCACACACUCGACCGCAUGCAUGGACAUACCAAUAGCAUGGUUUAUUCCUAACAUGCUCCUCCUAAACCCGGUCCCCACGGCCAACCCUCGCCGGCUUCCCCUCUGGCGCCCACUGCAACGCGCCCCCUUAGCCCGCGUUCCCUCGCAUCCGCUCUCUCUCCCAAUGUCGCGCCCUUCUUCCCUUCGGGCGCGUCAGGAGGACGAGGUAAGCAGGUGAGGUGGCUCGACGCUGAUUCCGACUCCGAUGACGCUGCGUCCACCUACGCUUCCCCAUGCCGCCCCACCUACCGUGACGUCCUGCUACGACCAUCCCGUCCCAUCCCGUCCCGUCCCGUUACCCCCCCCCCCCGCCCCCUCCCCGAAGCUGGCCGCGCCCCGCGCCGCUCCCAUGGAGGCUGCCGCUACCGCACCUGUACGCAAGUGUUUGGGCCCGAGGAACGGGGUCCACCUUAGCCGCCGUCCAGACGGACAGCGCGGCGAGAGGACCCUGGUUCGUGGCCUUCCCCUGCGUCGGCCUGCUGAUAGAGGUACGGGUUGUAACCUCUGCUACCACAGCUACUAACCCACCCGCUGCUGCCCCGGAGGAACAAGGUUGGACAACUGAGGUGGGGCGACGCACUCGUUCCAGGCGACGUCGACGUCAGCGGCUUGCGCUGCGGCGCCAGGGCGCGGACGGCCCGCCGAGCAAGCCUAUCCCGCCGGAGUUCGUCGGCCGCUGCUUCAACUGCAUGUCCCACACCCACCUCAUCGCAACGUGCAGAUGCGACGAUGCCGCGGGUUUUGGCAUGCACUUGGCCAAGGACUGCAAGCGGCCUAGAAGCCCAGUCGGCUCGGUUUCUUCCGGCGGGGGAGGUAAUCGCGGUCUGGUCCCACCGCGCCACCGAUACCCCCACCGACGGCCUCGUCCACCGGGUACCCCGUCCGUGGCCGCCUCGUCAUGCGAGGGAUGGCACACGUCCGACAUGCUGCUGUCGGUCAUGCGGGAGGUUGGCAGGGGCAAGGGGCACCUCCGGCGCGUCCAGACCGUGGCCGCCCUUGGCGGAGGGGCCGUCAGGCUCACGAGAUGACGACGCCACACAUGAUCGUGUGCCACCUAUGUUCUACGACGAGGAUAGCCCGCCCGUCCAUCCUGCUACAAGGCGCACCGAGGAAACAUGUUUCAAACCCGGAGACAAAUGUGCUGCACCGGCCCGUGAUGCCCCUGUCACUGCAGCAGCCGUGCCAUACCGCGCCAGACGGCGUGCGCGUCCUUUCACCUGCACGGCGCACAUCUCCCAGGUUGCCUACUGCAACGGUAACCUCUCCUAGCGCGGCACACACCCCCCUGACGCGUCACGGGGGCCUCUCGAGCUCCAGAACUGUACGUCGCUCGACCUACCAGUGGAGAAGCUGCUGCCAUACAGGCCCGGUCACGUCGAGCUGUGGGUAGACCCCAUGCGCCUGGAGUCAACGUUGCAGGCACCGUUGUGCCCGCCAGCUGCUCCACAUGAAGCUACACAGGCGCCCACACCCUUCUUUCGCGCCUACAGGCGUGAACCGGCCCAAGCUCCUACCCCGCUAGCAGCAAGGUGCACUAGCCCACCGCACGAGCUGCCCGUGACGGCGUUGUUCUCAACACCGGUCAGGACCUACUCCCGCCGUGCUCGCCGUGGCGCAGACCACGCACCGCAGACUGAAGCAGGCCAGCAAUCCCCUCAGGUGCUAGCUGACGCCGCUUCCUGGAUUCCCGUGGCGAGCCGGGGUCCAACCGGGUCGCCAUCACGAAGCUCCCCUACGAACACGGCUCGACGGCCAAGCACUGCUCUUGCAACAACGAUUGCUCCUUCAUCACCAGGAGCAACGCUAGCGGCGCCCGGCUCCGCCACAAUUGCGAUGCCGAUGCUAGCGGCGCAAAUUAGGGAUAAUCAAUUGCGAUGCCGACGCUGAUCAUGCCGCCGCAAAGGAUUUCGACAAGUUGUUAAAGUCUACAAUGCAGCCGCAGCAUUUUGAGGCGCUCAGAGACAUCUUUUCGCUAGCUAACGAUCUGACAGAUGACAAACUCAUGCAGAUCGCGGCCAGCACUGGUACGGGGAGCACCUGACAUUUUGGUCGCCAGGUGUAACGCAGGAAGCGACGCUAUGGAGCGCGGCAGGAGUAGGACCUUCCUGCAUGGGGAGUUUUCAGCUGGCCGGCAUCCCUGAGCCACUAGUGGGCUAACGUUAUGUUCUUGUUUCUUAUGUAAAGGUUGCUCUAGUGCUUCAAUGUAACAACUAUUAGUAACACCGAACCCGUGUGCGUGUGCCCGCUUGAUCCACGUUGUAACAAACUUUCUCCUUCUUAAUGGAAAGAUACGCAGCUCUCUUGCG
RNAcentral lists this long non-coding RNA (20368 nucleotides) under Setaria italica (foxtail millet). RNAcentral describes it as "long non-coding RNA (SITA_LNC000209)". The record is from RNAcentral. Lineage: Eukaryota; Viridiplantae; Streptophyta; Magnoliopsida; Poales; Poaceae.